Pangasius djambal is the source of this 76-nucleotide non-coding RNA. The record is from the annotation of a GenBank genome assembly. Lineage: Eukaryota; Metazoa; Chordata; Actinopteri; Siluriformes; Pangasiidae.
GCAGUCGUGGCCUAAUGGUUUCAAGAGUCGUACUUGUAACCCGAAGGUCGUGGGUUCGAGUCUCAGGCCGGCAGGG